AAGUAAGACCCCUGAGAGACGAUCAGGUAGAUAGGCUAGAAGUGGAAGUGGAGUGAUCCAUGGAGCGGACUAGUACUAAUCGGUCGAGGACUUAACCAC
RNAcentral lists this ribosomal RNA (99 nucleotides) under Parvimonas sp. RNAcentral's name for it is "partial 23S ribosomal RNA". It matches the Rfam family "Bacterial large subunit ribosomal RNA", at positions 2826 to 2925 of the family's 2925-position model. Lineage: Bacteria; Bacillati; Bacillota; Tissierellia; Tissierellales; Peptoniphilaceae. The record is from RNAcentral.